RNAcentral lists this ribosomal RNA (413 nucleotides) under uncultured bacterium. Its description in RNAcentral is "bacterial SSU rRNA". It matches the Rfam family "Bacterial small subunit ribosomal RNA", at positions 917 to 1333 of the family's 1533-position model. The record is from RNAcentral.
GGGCCCGCACAAGCGGUGGAGCAUGUGGUUUAAUUCGAUGAUACGCGAGGAACCUUACCAGGGCUUAAAUGUAAGUUGCAUUAGUUAGAGAUAUCUAUUUCUUCGGACCACUUACAAGGUGCUGCAUGGUUGUCGUCAGCUCGUGCCGUGAGGUGUCAGGUUAAGUCCUAUAACGAGCGCAACCCCUGUUGUUAGUUGCCAGCGAUUCAAGUCGGGAACUCUAACAAGACUGCCGGUGCAAACCGUGAGGAAGGUGGGGAUGACGUCAAAUCAUCACGGCCCUUACGUCCUGGGCUACACACGUGCUACAAUGGCCGGUACAGAGAGCAGCCACUACGCGAGUAGGCGCGAAUCUUCAAAGCCGGUCUCAGUUCGGAUCGGAGUCUGCAACUCGACUCCGUGAAGCUGGAAUC